UACAGAGGGGGCAAGCGUUGUUCGGAAUUACUGGGCGUAAAGGGCGCGUAGGCGGCCUUCUAAGUCAGACGUGAAAUCCCUCGGCUCAACCGGGGAACUGCGUCUGAUACUGGGCGGCUUGAAUUCGGGAGAGGAAUGCGGAAUUCCAGGUGUAGCGGUGAAAUGCGUAGAUAUCUGGAGGAACACCGGUGGCGAAGGCGGCAUUCUGGACCGACAUUGACGCUGAGGCGCGAAAGCCAGGGGAGCAAACGGG
RNAcentral lists this ribosomal RNA (253 nucleotides) under uncultured bacterium. Its description in RNAcentral is "partial 16S ribosomal RNA". It matches the Rfam family "Bacterial small subunit ribosomal RNA", at positions 524 to 776 of the family's 1533-position model. The record is from RNAcentral.